ACUAAGGCUAGCCCAUAAAAUGAACCUCAAGUUAAAACUUGAAAACCAAAACAAACAAAACAUUUAAUUAAUAUUAGAGUAUAGGAGAUAGAAAUAAUUUCCUUGGCGCAAUAGAGACAGUACCGUAAGGGAACGAGUGAAAGAAAUUAUUAAAAGUAUAAUACAGCAAAGAUUACCCCUUGUACCUUUUGCAUAAUGACUUAACUAGAAUAACCUUAGCAAAGAGCACUUUAGUUAAUUAUCCCGAAACCAGACGAGCUAUUCAUGAACAGCUAAUAGAGCCAACUCAUCUAUGUGGCAAAAUAGUGAGAAGAUUUAUGAAUAGAGGUGAUAUGCCUACCGAGCCUGGUGAUAGCUGGUUAUCCAGACGAGAAUUUUAGUUCAACUUUAAGCUUACCUAAAAAAUAUUAAAUUUUAAUGUAAGCUUAAAUGUUAAUCUGCAGAGGUACAGCUCUGCAGAACAAGAUUACAACCUUAAUUAGUGAGUAAAUUUAUUUAAUUACCAUAGUUGGCCUAAAAGCAGCCAUCAAUUAAGAAAGCGUUCAAGCUCAACAGUAAAAUUUAUAUUUAAUCCAAAAAAUUAAUUACAUAAACUCCUAAUAUGACUACUGGAUUAUUCUACCUAUCUGUAGAAGAAAUACUGUUAAAAUGAGUAACAAGAUUUUUAUCUCCAUACACACGUGUAUAUCAGCCCGAAUCCUAACUGAUAGUUAACAAUUAGAUAAAUCUAUUCAUCAAAUUAAUAAUUUAUCACAACAUUGUUAAUCCAACACCGGAGUGAAUAUAAGGAAAGAUUAAAAAAAGUAAAAGGAACUCGGCAAACAUAAACCCCGCCUGUUUACCAAAAACAUCACCUCUAGCAUUAUUAGUAUUAGAGGCACUGCCUGCCCAGUGACAUUAGUUUAACGGCCGCGGUAUCCUGACCGUGCAAAGGUAGCAUAAUCAUUUGUUCCUUAAUUAGGGACUUGUAUGAAUGGCCACACGAGGGUUUAACUGUCUCUUACUUUUAAUCAGUGAAAUUGACCCUCCCGUGAAGAGGCGGGAAUAAAAAAAUAAGACGAGAAGACCCUAUGGAGCUUAAAUUUAAGUGUUCAACAAAAUUCAAACUUAAUCCAACAGGAAUAAUCUUAUUUUAACUGAACAACAAAUUUUGGUUGGGGUGACCUCGGAGUAUAAUAAAACCUCCGAGUAAUUUUAACUAAGACUUACCUGUCAAAGUGAUAUAACUUAUUGAUCCAAUCAAAUUGAUCAACGAAACAAGUUACCCUAGGGAUAACAGCGCAAUCCUAUUUGAGAGUUCAUAUCGACAAUAGGGUUUACGACCUCGAUGUUGGAUCAGGACACCCAAAUGGUGCAGCAGCUAUUAAAGGUUCGUUUGUUCAACGAUUAAAGUCCUACGUGAUCUGAGUUCAGACCGGAGAAAUCCAGGUCGGUUUCUAUCUAUUAAAAAUUUCUCCCAGUACGAAAGGACAAGAGAAAUGAAGCCUACUCUAAAGAGCGCUCCCACAGAUUAACAGAUGAAACUAUCUCAACCUGAACAACUAUUUAUAACACUAACCCUAGACCAGGGUUC
RNAcentral lists this ribosomal RNA (1573 nucleotides) under Crocidura fuliginosa (Southeast Asian shrew). RNAcentral describes it as "16S ribosomal RNA". It matches the Rfam family "Bacterial large subunit ribosomal RNA". The record is from RNAcentral. Lineage: Eukaryota; Metazoa; Chordata; Mammalia; Eulipotyphla; Soricidae.